UUUUGCUGUGUGGAUCUCAGACGAGAAGAACCCACACUGACUGCUGAAUCCUGAUCUAACAAGACAAGCUGCUGGUUCCUUCACACUCUAGUCACUGAAUAUUUUGCACCAUGUUUUCACCGCUUUGGACUGUACCAUGAUGAGUGGAAACCUGAAGCAGAUAGAUGCUGGAUCAGGCCAAGUGGUUGGAGUAAACAAAAACAAAACAAGGAAGUGUUUGUCCUACUUAAUGUUUUCAAAGAUCAGCGGGUCUCUAAAGCACAUCAGUGCUGGUCCUGCUGGUUGGCUGGGGGUGAAUUCGGCAAGCAACAUCUUCAAGUUUCAGAGUGGUUCCUUCAUUCAGUUUCCAGGUGGAGUUACAGAGUGAAAUAUGACAACCUGGUUUAACCCUCUGGAGUCUGAGGGUGUUUUGGGGGACUGGAGAAGUUUUGACAUGCCCUGACAUUUGUGCCAGAGUUUUUUUUUUUUUUUUUUUUCCUUCAGUUGCUUCUAAAAAUAUAAGUGGCAAAAGUCUAAACACUUUAAAUGGCACAAACUGGGCUACAAUGUUAGCAGCAUUUAUGUACAUGAUUGUGUUUUUGAGAGAGCACGAUACUUAUCUUCAACUUUUUGAUUUCCUUCAUUUUAAAUAAAAAAAGUGCUUUUAUGAUGUAAUUUAAAAUUUGACUCAUUUCAAGGCUUUUAAUGUCUCAGGAUGCAGUAAUUUUCCACUGCUUUUACUUUAGAAUAAUGAUUAAUUUGCUGCUCCGAUUAAGUUUGUCAUUAUUUUUUUACAUUCAUCACUUCAUCUCCUGUUUCCUGCUCUUCACCUGAUUAGUUUUGCCUCUUGGGUUAAUAGAAUAGCCCGUUUUAGUAUGUCAGACACAAUGCAGUAUUAACUGGUUUUAGAUCUCAGUGGAUAUCUUUUGACGGGAUCUGUUAAAGAGACUGGAGACAACAUUCCUCAAAUGUCAGUGGGAUUUA
Onychostoma macrolepis is the source of this 963-nucleotide long non-coding RNA. RefSeq lists it as uncharacterized. Lineage: Eukaryota; Metazoa; Chordata; Actinopteri; Cypriniformes; Cyprinidae. The record is from RefSeq and is a predicted model, not a curated record. The transcript has 3 exons.